Molecule: ribosomal RNA, 253 nt
Filed under: uncultured bacterium
Lineage: Bacteria
Description: partial 16S ribosomal RNA
Rfam family: Bacterial small subunit ribosomal RNA
Source: RNAcentral
UACAGAGGUCUCGAGCGUUAGGCGGAAUCACUGGGCUUAAAGCGUGUGUAGGCGGAUUGGUAAGUACUUUGUGAAAUCCCACGGCUUAACCGUGGAGCUGCUUGGUAUACUGCCAGUCUUGAGCCAGCUAGGGGCUACCGGAACAAAUGGUGGAGCGGUGAAAUGCGUAGAUAUCAUUUGGAACGCCAAUGGUGAAAACAGGUAGCUGGGGCUGUGCUGACGCUGAGACACGAAAGCCAGGGGAGCAAACGGG